UAAGCCCAGCAACCAUUGAUAUCCAGACAAGCUUUUGCUUAACCAGCCAAGCUUGUUUGUCUAAACCAAAGAAUUAUUUCAAAAGGAUUUCUGGGUUGGAAUGGAUUUAUUCCUGUUCCACCCAAACUGCUUCAGUAAUUGUUAUGACCUGUCAAUAUCAUUUAUGGGUUGGAAUGGAUUUAUUCCUGUUCCACCCAAACUGCUUCAGUAAUUGUUAUGACCUGUCAAUAUCAUUCUUCAAAUUCAUUUGAUUUUGAAGAAAGAAUCAGAAACACACCUAACGGUGAACUCAUGUUUCUGUGGGAUUAUCAUACAACAUUCACAUGCAGCAGUUCCUCUGUGGAAGCUUCCGUCGUUUGAACUCAUAUC
Molecule: long non-coding RNA, 369 nt
Filed under: Jatropha curcas
Lineage: Eukaryota; Viridiplantae; Streptophyta; Magnoliopsida; Malpighiales; Euphorbiaceae
Description: long non-coding RNA (JCUR_LNC000594)
Source: RNAcentral